This 471-nucleotide ribosomal RNA is filed under the name uncultured bacterium. RNAcentral's name for it is "SSU rRNA". It matches the Rfam family "Bacterial small subunit ribosomal RNA", at positions 26 to 518 of the family's 1533-position model. The record is from RNAcentral.
AGAAUGAACGUUGGCGGCGUGGAUUAGGCAUGCAAGUCGAACGGGCCUGGUAGCAAUACCAGGUCAGUGGCGUAAGGGUGAGUAAGGCGACGGCAACCAACCCCAUGGUUGGGCAUAGCCGCGGGAAACUGCGGGUAAUUCCCAGCGAUGUUCGUACCGGGCAUCCGGUGUGAACCAAAGUUCUGGCGCCGUGGGACGGGCCGUCGUGGUAUUAGGUAGUUGGCGGGGUAAUGGCCCACCAAGCCUCUGAUGCCUACCGGGCGUGCGAGCGUGGCCCGGCACACUGGGACUGAGACACUGCCCAGACUCCUACGGGAGGCUGCAGUCGAGAAUCUUCGGCAAUGGGCGCAAGCCUGACCGAGCGACGCCGCGUGGAGGAUGAAGGCCUUCGGGUUGUAAAAUUCUUUCAGCGGGGACGAUAAUGACGGUACCCGCAGAAGAAGCCCCGGCUAACUUCGUGCCAGCAGCCGC